AUUGAACGCUGGCGGCAGGCCUAACACAUGCAAGUCGACCGGAUGAAGGGAGCUUGCUCCUGGAUUCAGCGGCGGACGGGUGAGUAAUGCCUAGGAAUCUGCCUGGUAGCGGGGGAUAACGUCCGGAAACGGGCGCUAAUACCGCAUACGUCCUGAUGGAGAAAGUGGGGGAUCUUCGGACCUCACGCUAUCAGAUGAGCCUAGGACGGAUUAGCUAGUUGGUGGGGUAAAGGCUUACCAAGGCGACGAUCCGUAACUGGUCUGAGAGGAUGAUCAGUCACACUGGAACUGAGACACGGUCCAGACUCCUACGGGAGGCAGCAGUAGGGAAUAUUGCGCAAUGGGCGAAAGCCUGAUCCAGCCAUGCCGCGUGUGUGAAGAAGGUCUUCGGAUUGUAAAGCACUUUAAGUUGGGAGGAAGGGCAGUAAGUUAAUACCUUGCUGUUUUGACGUUACCAACAGAGUAAGCACCGGCUAACUUCGUG
This 484-nucleotide ribosomal RNA is filed under the name uncultured bacterium. RNAcentral's name for it is "partial 16S ribosomal RNA". It matches the Rfam family "Bacterial small subunit ribosomal RNA", at positions 30 to 507 of the family's 1533-position model. The record is from RNAcentral.